CAACCCUCGAGCCCCUCCGGGGGGUCGGCGUUGGGGAUCGGCACUUACCUGCCGGCCCCGAAAUACAGUGGCGGUCUCGCCGCAGCCUCUCCUGCGCAGUAGUUUGCACACUCGCACCGGGAGCGCGGCGCGUCCACGGCCGUAAAACAACCCAAACUUCUGAAA
Molecule: unclassified non-coding RNA, 165 nt
Filed under: uncultured Trichoderma
Lineage: Eukaryota; Fungi; Ascomycota; Sordariomycetes; Hypocreales; Hypocreaceae
Description: sequence contains ITS2
Source: RNAcentral